RNAcentral lists this transfer RNA (66 nucleotides) under Phrynocephalus vlangalii vlangalii. Its description in RNAcentral is "tRNA-Thr". It matches the Rfam family "tRNA". From Rfam's summary of the family: Transfer RNA (tRNA) molecules are approximately 80 nucleotides in length. Their secondary structure includes four short double-helical elements and three loops (D, anti-codon, and T loops). Lineage: Eukaryota; Metazoa; Chordata; Lepidosauria; Squamata; Agamidae. The record is from RNAcentral.
GUCCUGGUAGCUCAAAAUCAAAAGCGUUAGUUUUGUAAACUAAAAAUGGGUCAACCCCCAGGAUUU